Molecule: ribosomal RNA, 459 nt
Filed under: uncultured bacterium
Lineage: Bacteria
Description: partial 16S ribosomal RNA
Rfam family: Bacterial small subunit ribosomal RNA
Source: RNAcentral
CCUACGGGAGGCAGCAGUGAGGAAUAUUGGUCAAUGGGCGAGAGCCUGAACCAGCCAAGUCGCGUGAGGGAAGACGGUCCUAUGGAUUGUAAACCUCUUUUGCCGGGGAGCAAAAAGCGGUACGUGUACCGCAUCGAGAGUACCCGGAGAAAAAGCAUCGGCUAACUCCGUGCCAGCAGCCGCGGUAAUACGGAGGAUGCGAGCGUUAUCCGGAUUUAUUGGGUUAAAAGGGUGCGCAGUCGGCGAGUUAAGUCAGCGGUAAAAUUUCGGGGCUCAACCCCGACAAGCCGUUGAAACUGGCGUGCUAGAGUGGGCGAGAAGUAUGCGGAAUGCGUGGUGUAGCGGUGAAAUGCAUAGAUAUCACGCAGAUCUCCGAUUGCGAAGGCAGCAUACCGGCGCCCAACUGACGCUCAGGCACGAAAGCGUGGGUAUCGAACAGGAUUAGAUACCCUUGUAGUC